This 835-nucleotide long non-coding RNA is filed under the name Zonotrichia albicollis (white-throated sparrow). RNAcentral's name for it is "lncRNA (ENSZALG00000013350.1)". The record is from RNAcentral. Lineage: Eukaryota; Metazoa; Chordata; Aves; Passeriformes; Passerellidae.
GGCAAUGAUCGCUGCACCUUCUGCACCCGAAGCUGUGGCCUGGGCCAGGAGAGCACCAGCAAAGGUUGCCAGCCUUGCCGCCAUGGGACCUUUAAUGAUCAGCCCAAUGGCUCCUGCAAAAACUGGACAAUGUGCUCUGGAAACCAAAUCCUGGUGCCUGGAACUCCAGCAAAAGAUGUCAUUUGCAAACAUGCUUCAGUUAAUUCCACUUUAGUCACUACUCUACCUACAACAUCUCUUGACAUUCCAUUUUAUAUCACUGUGCCAGGGAAGGAUGUUCAGGCAGACACAAUCAGGAUUUCUCUCGCUGUGGCUGGGCUGUCGUGCUUGAUGUUCCUGCUGCCUUUGUGCAUCUGCUUCAGUGUCUGGCAGAAAAAGAAACUACACGCUGUCUUCAAGAAAAUGCACACACCUGAACAGUCAGUUCAGGAGGAUGAUGCCUGCAGCUGCCACUUCCCUGAGGAAGAACAAGCUCAAGUCUUCUCUCUAUUGGUACUUCCAACCAUUACAUCAAAAUCAAACUUGAAGGCAUGAACAGGACACAUGAAAAGCCACCAAACUUUUUAUAAAGCUAUCUGUUUAUAAAUCAAAGAAUGACCUUUGCAUCAUUGACUAUAUAUUAGAACAAGAUAAAAAGACUAUUUCUGCCCGUCAUUAAUUUCUAGCCCAAACAGAAGGUAGAGAAUUAAUAUAUACAUCCUGUAACUCAAAACAUCUGGUGUUUUCUCCUUGGAAAAAAAGAGAUAAUGACUGGAAUGUUACAUGUUGCUACUAAAUUCUGCAUAUAUUUUGAAAUGCUUCAAAUAAAGUGCAAACCCCUUAUUCCUCUUGUCCA